Arvicanthis niloticus (Nile rat) is the source of this 462-nucleotide non-coding RNA. Lineage: Eukaryota; Metazoa; Chordata; Mammalia; Rodentia; Muridae. The record is from RefSeq and is a predicted model, not a curated record.
UCAUGUAUGUAGAUCAGGUUAGCCUUGAACUCGCAGAGGUCUCCAGCUGCCUCUGACCCACAAAUAUUGAGAUUAAAGGUGUAUACUACUAUGCUUGGCCCACUUAAUUGUUUUGAGAAGAGGACUCUUACACCUGGGAGCUCUCCAACCUGCCUAGACUCGCUGGCCAGCAAACCCCAGGGAUCUCUACUUCUUUGGGAGUACAGGUGGUUUUUCCAUGUGGCUCAAUAGGAUAAGCUCCUGCUGGUCAUGACUCCUCAUCAAAAGGGCUCUGAUCUACAUGGAGACACAAGCUGAAAAGAUGUUCAGAAUAUUGCAACACAAUGAAGGUUCAAGUGAGGGUGCUGUUUGAAGAAACACUGCAGAGAACCCAUGCUCCUCAGAGGGAACCUGCUCAGGUCAGCAAAGGUAUCGAUGAUGACCCCAAAGAUCAGGUUCAGGACGAUAAUGAUGACCAUGAAG